UUCCUGUUAUUUUCAAUUUGUCUAUUUAUUCAUGCCUUUCCCAUUAUAUCAAGUUAUAAAAUAAUUGGGUGAUUGGUGGGGCAAUCUUUUGUAAAAAGCAAGAGAGUUAUAUGAUCUGAAGAGAAACCAGAGUAUUGGUAGGGCAACCUUGUGAUUUUAAUUAGUGCUGCAUUGAUGAUGAUACUGCGGAAACUGGAACACUAUUCCUUUUGGGUUUACUUAUUUAUUUUCAUGGUACGUACCUCCACUUAUUUCAGAUUUUUAAAUUUUCUGCUUCUAAUAUCCUGCAAAUCACCAGGAUAUUCUUCCAACCAGCACCGAAAGUACCUCACCUGAGGUACCAAAAGUAUCCGACAGCUUCUUAGAUGGAGGAAGAUCUAUGCUUGCUCCUUAUGCAUCGGAGGUUAUUUUACAAGAAGAGCCACAUCACCACCCCUAGUGGUCAAAGGGGCAAAUUCCUCAGCCGACCUCUGAUCCCUCCCUGCCUUCACCUGCCAGGAGCUUCGGAGGCCACAUUAGAAGUUGCCAUCAGCGUGAGACCCUGUUCCAGGAACUGACGAUACCAAAACACAGUUGUGGCUUGAAGGUCCACCGAAUGGCACUGGAUCGUCACAGAGGUUCCACUCUUACAGACAGCUGUCCUCGGAUUCUGAGAGACGAGAGCACCAAGCCCAGAACCUGCUGACACACAGGUCAAAGAGGUGAAGGAGGCCUGUACCACAGGCGGAAAACUCACGGCACCCAGAGAUUCCUGCUGUUCUGUGAAAUCUUCCUGUUAGACCCCCUAGGACCAUAAUCCCCCACCUCCCCUGCCUGGUGACUUCUCACCUUACCCUUCAUACCUCCAGAGAGCAAGAAUGUCCCCCCUCAUUUUGAUCCGCAUAAAAUAAUCCACAACCUCUGCCUACUGCUCCACUCAUGCCAUUACACACACACACACACACACACACACACACACACACACACACACUUGCCCCAACUACUCAGAUUGUAAGGCUCAUACUGGGCCCCAGGAGCAGCAGAAGCAUGAGCAUCUUCAGAUACUGGCCUCAUAUCACACCUCUCUCACUGUAUCUCAUUCUCCCUUUCUCCACCCCUAGAAGGAUGGACCACUGCUUACAUAUUCCUGAAGAUGCUCCAAUCUGCCCUCUCGUGGUGAUGUUUUUUUCCAGUGAUGCAGGAUCCAUCAAAGAGCUGAAAGGGGCCUCAGAUGUUCUAAUUCUACUCCUAACUUUAUAGAACAUGCGCUAAGACCCAGAUCAUUGAAUUGACUUAAAGAAGUUUCUUAGCUUUACUCAUGAAAAAAGCUGUAUGUGCAUUAAAAGGAAUUAUCGCCUCUUCUUUACUUCUGUAACAUAUCCUCAAAGUAAGUCAGACAACUGAUGAUUGUUAGUCACUAACAAUCGUGGUGAUAAACAAUCAUGAGUGAGCAUCAGAAAUUCUAGGCUGUAAGUUCAAUGUUUCUUCAUACUGAUGAUAAAGACAAUUUCUCAUCUUCUAAAUGAAGCAUUUAUUUCACGACUAUCUCAUGCCGGUCGCCGUCAUAUGGAUGGUCUUAAUACUAAACAUAGCUAUUUAUCGUGGUUUGCACAUCUCUGUGUAAAUCACUGUGGAGGCUACGAGGAUAAUUUGUUUACAGCUAUUUCCCCAUGAUACAGGUCAUAGGCUAAGUACUGGCCAGUGGAAAUAGGUUGUAGGAGAUUUAGGGAAUUAUUUCUGCUUUGAACAUGCUGGAAUAUUUAUUUAAAUGGCUCGUGCUUAGAAAUGUAUAGCAAUUUCAAAGAAACUGAAGAUUUUUCUCCAAAACAUUAUACUUUUAUUCUUAUAAUAACCUCCCAGUUUUGCUUCAUGAAUAUUUAGUUCUGUAUAUCUGGAGUGAGUAACUAAGGAAGGUGGGAUUAGGACUUGAUCCAACAAAUUAUGUUUGUAGCAUAGUGACAUAGAUUUUUAUCAUAGUGAAUAUAACAUUGUGUACUAAAGAUUACUAUGUGCAAAAUACUGAUGUAUGUAUUGAAGGGCAUCUGACAUGCUCUUGUGGCUGUAUUUUUUUCAUGGUGGGGGCAGACCGCAUUACGAUGAGGCCGCUUCUCACCAUAACUGUACUUUUUCUGCAAAGAGUAGGUGAAUGUGCCUUGUAAUGUAUUACGUCUGCACAACAUUAUGAUGUAUAAGGGAUGAAGUGUCUGGAGGCCCCUGGAUCAGAAGAAACUCUUUCUACUCUUCUUGAGGACCAGCAGCCAUCAGAUACAAAAAGAUAUAGACGUAAUUUGAAAAACCAACUUAGUGGGUCACUGAGGUGUCUUGUCAUUCCGCGAAGCACGUUGAUGGCAGCAGCUCCUUUGAGCGUCUGGUGAA
This is a long non-coding RNA of Leopardus geoffroyi (Geoffroy's cat), 2355 nucleotides long. RefSeq lists it as uncharacterized. The transcript is spliced from 3 exons. NCBI's taxonomy places the organism in Eukaryota, Metazoa, Chordata, Mammalia, Carnivora, Felidae. The record is from RefSeq and is a predicted model, not a curated record.